AUCCAGCUGACGAGUCGCAAAUAGGACGGAACGUACGUCCUGGAU
Molecule: non-coding RNA, 45 nt
Organism: Schistosoma mansoni
Lineage: Eukaryota; Metazoa; Platyhelminthes; Trematoda; Strigeidida; Schistosomatidae
Source: Rfam